CGUCACUCGAAGCACGGCAUCUCUUACUCUUCUGUUCACCUCCUCAGGUCAAAUUCUAGUUUAGCAUGUGAAGCAGUUGCAGGCCCUUUGCGAUCCCUAACUUCAGUCAAUCUGUCCAGGAAUUCGGUCAGAGCGGAGCAACAGCAGAGAUAAAUAGACUGCUGAGGCAGUCUUCCUCGGCUCUUGAGGUAUAGGAAUAGGUAUAUUGCCACUUGCCUUUAUCCAUAUUUCUUGUUGAAGAUUAUUGAGGAAUAUGUGGACGUCAUUUCCUCUGGUAAAGAAGCAGGGUAUGAGUGCAUUGUCGAAUUUAUCCGUGGAUGAGAAGCUCCGCAUUAAAAUUGCAAAGAGUCAUUUGCUGCCAUUAAUUACUAAGUACCUUGAAGACGAGGAGGUAAGACUGAAGAAGCUGCAAGAGGCAUGUUGGCAAAUUUAGCUCUGUGCCAUGUUAACCACAGCAUUUCGGUUGAAGCAGGAUCAUAUAGAAUUGGCAAAGUUCUUAACUUCUGAUUCUGAAGGACCCAAAGUCAAUAAAAAGGCGACAAUCCAUUUUCUUGACCCACCAGCAUAGACAUAACAUGAAUGCUCUGUAACCUAUCUUCCUUGUUGUUUUAUGAAUUGAAAUGAAGCUUAUGUCCAUGAACCCCAUCUCCCUUUUGUUCCCGUGGUGAAUUCAUCAUUAAAAAAUUUCAUGAUAGUGUGUUGCGUGUAAAUAGUCAUGGGUUUUAUGGUGCAAGCCUAUUAUUCUUCAUA
Molecule: long non-coding RNA, 750 nt
Organism: Neltuma alba
Lineage: Eukaryota; Viridiplantae; Streptophyta; Magnoliopsida; Fabales; Fabaceae
Exons: 2
Source: RefSeq, a predicted model, not a curated record